GACGAACGCUGGCGGCGUGCUUAACACAUGCAAGUCGAGCGGUAAGGCCCUUUCGGGGGUACACGAGCGGCGAACGGGUGAGUAACACGUGGGUGACCUGCCCUCAGCUCUGGGAUAAGCCUGGGAAACUGGGUCUAAUACCGGAUAUGACUCCAUGACGCAUGUUGUGGGGUGGAAAGCCUUGUGCGGCUGAGGAUGGGCCCGCGGCCUAUCAGCUUGUUGGUGGGGUGAUGGCCUACCAAGGCGACGACGGGUAGCCGGCCUGAGAGGGCGACCGGCCACACUGGGACUGAGACACGGCCCAGACUCCUACGGGAGGCAGCAGUGGGGAAUCUUGCGCAAUGGGCGAAGGCCUGACGCAGCGACGCCGCGUGAGGGAUGACGGCCUGG
This 390-nucleotide ribosomal RNA is filed under the name uncultured bacterium. Its description in RNAcentral is "bacterial SSU rRNA". It matches the Rfam family "Bacterial small subunit ribosomal RNA", at positions 28 to 419 of the family's 1533-position model. The record is from RNAcentral.